GCCUUUUGUAUUUAAACAUGUAUAAACAUCAGUAGACUCUAGACUCUAAAUGCUGUAUGAUGCUGCUCUGUACACAGUAUGCACACAAACCACUACAGGAAACCAAAUUGAUUUCAUAUUUUCAGACAAUCCUACUAAGUCCAAUGUAUUGAUCAUAGGCCUACUUACAAAGUCUGGUUUGAGGUGACUAUAAGCCCAAAAGCGAAACGGUUUCUAUUUCUCUGUCUAUUUCUGUUACGAGGAAAUUUUGGUUUUGAGGUUUCCGGCGGAGAAAAAGUGUGAGGUGACUAGGCCCAAAAGUGUCUUGCAGAACCGAGGACCUCUGGUUAAACUCUCAGCGAAAGUCAUAAUUGAUUGUUUGACGUCAUUGUGCUCACUCAACUCGAUAUAUUGUAAACAAAAUAGAAAUAAUAAAUGCGCAUCCCUGGUGAAGUUGACUUCAGCUCAAGAAGAAUCUGUUGAGGAUGUACAGGCAGUUUGUUGUAGAACGCGCGAAAAAUAUUUGAGAAAUAAUUGAUCAAAAAAUGCACACACUGAAGGCAAUAUGUAGUUUGUACUUCAUUUCCUCAGUAAGUACCAUGAAACUGUCGCUUACUAUUGAUUCCUAUGAACCCAAAUGUUUGAAAUGUGUAUUCACUGACAAGGUCACGGUGUCGGCAUCUUUGACAUUUAACGAUACGAUCAAAGAUUUUCCAGACAAUAUUUUUGUAGAAUUGUAUCAAAAUGAAAUGGGCAGCGAGCCAGCCAACCCGUGGGAAGUGUACUGUCAUCUAGCUCUUCGCAUGUGCUUCAGAAAUGAAUACAAUGAUGCCACCUGUAAUUGUAAAGUUGGAAAACUAUUUCAAGUGCUCUUCAGAGUCACGCUCUUGAAUGUAGACAAUAUGAGAAACCAAAAACUGCGUCUGCGUUGGACUCAUGACAGUUGGAUUCAUAAUGAAAGACAAUUUUUUGAUGAUUUGCUAGUUAGUAACAUUUAUCAGUGGUAACGCUCUCUAUAGACCUGGUUUUAUUUACAUAGCUAGUACAUAAGAAUAGAAAUGUGCAAAUCAUGUCACUACAGAUCACAUUAGUUUGUAGGAAGGAAGUCUGACUACAUUAUAUCUUAUCAGUCUAGCAAUGCUCUAAUUCAUCAACCUAAUGGUGACUAGAUUUUGUACCUCGUGUUGUAUUCUGUGAAUUGAAUGUUGAAAUAAACUUUUUUUUUUUACAUUUUCUGUUUAUUUUGUCUUAUGAAACUGUCAUUCCUGACUUAAUAAAAUACAAAAACAAAAAAGAAUGUUUUCAAUGAACUGUUCCAAUUUUUUGAUGAUUUGCUAGUUAGUAACAUUUAUCAGUGGUAACGCUCUCUAUAGACCUGGUUUUAUUUACAUAGCUAGUACAUAAGAAUAGAAAUGUGCAAAUCAUGUCACUACAGAUCACAUUAGUUUGUAGGAAGGAAGUCUGACUACAUUAUAUCUUAUCAGUCUAGCAAUGCUCUAAUUCAUCAACCUAAUGGUGACUAGAUUUUGUACCUCGUGUUGUAUUCUGUGAAUUGAAUGUUGAAAUAAACUUUUUUUUUUUACAUUUU
Molecule: RNA transcript, 1567 nt
Organism: Biomphalaria glabrata
Lineage: Eukaryota; Metazoa; Mollusca; Gastropoda; Planorbidae
Exons: 6
Source: RefSeq, a predicted model, not a curated record